AACAGACAAAGGUGUGGAUAGUGGAGAGGAAGAGAAGUGCUUGGACCUAGUUAAUCCUCAAAUCCAACUAUAUCUUGAAUUAUCAAGAGGAAUGCCUAUCCUGCGGCACAUUUGAUCCACCUGGAAGAUUUCAUGAAUUACUCAUACCCCUGCUUUCUGGAAAUUUGGACUCAAUUGAUCUGGGGCCCAGGCCUCAGUAUUUUGAAGCUUCCCUAAGUGAUUCUAAUGAACAGCCAGGGUUGAGAACCACUGAACUAUGGUACAACAUCAUCGGUAAACAAGAAGAAUAAGUUCUAGUGUUCUAUUACACAGCAGGACGAGUGUAGCAAAUGACAGUGCAGCAUGUAUUUCAAAAUAUCUAAAAGAAGAGAUUCGAGACGUAAUCACCACAAAGGAAUGUUGGGAGACCAGGUCAAAGGUAACUGUUCAUAGAGGUCAGCCAUCCAGAUCAAGCCUGGGACCUUUCCAAGGAGACAGAGUCCAGUUGACGUUGGCCAUUCACUGACUGGUGUCAGCAGAUAAAGGAGACGGUGACAAAAUCUUCUAUCUAGGGUUUCUCAGCAAAAAUGUCAACUCAACUAUUUAGAUUAACAAGUGGAUUUUCCUUUCUGCGGAAAUCUUCUGGAGACAGACAGCCUGGGUUUGCCAUUUACUAACCAUGUGAUCACUGACAAGUGUGCCUCAGUUUCCUCCAGUAUAAAAGGAGAAUAAGAGUAUUACUCACCACACAGGAUUCUUGUGGGGUGAAAUAAAUCAUAUAUGCCAAGAGCUUAAAACAGUGUCUUGCACAGAGCUGGCCCUUGGGAAAUGAUAUUGUCUCUUUAUAUCCAAUACCAAAGAGCAGCCAUUUGUUAAGAAUUUCCUAUGUGACUGUUGCCAUGUUAAAAUUGUUUUGAACAUCACUUGACUUUUACCCUUACAACAAUUCUUUGUGGUUGCUAUUUUAUUCCCAUUUCAUAGAUGAGAAAAGUGAGGCAGAGAGAAAUUUUACCAUUUGCUCAGGGCCACAUGUUAACAGGAAUAAGAUAACUGGAAUUCUAUCUCAGUUUUUUCUGGCACAAAAGCUUGUGAUUUUUACCACUACACGGUCCUGUGAUAAAAUCAAACUGAAACAAAGCAAAAAGCAAUCUUCUUUUUAGUCCUGUUUGAUGUUCUCUGAGACGGCUGUUUGGUUAUUCUUAAAUUGUAAACUCUAACAGGGCAGAGUUGUGGCUGUGAAUUUUUUUCUACGGUAAUUUCUAUAAAGGACUCAUCUAUAACUCCACACUAUUUGCAAAUAUAUUUGUUUUCCAUAAAAAUCUGAAAAUCUGAGCUUUUGUCUAGCCUAUGUGUUUUGUUUUGUUUCAUUCUGGGUUGGUUGUUUGAAGAGCUGGUCUUCCCUUGAGGGAACAUGGGUAGCAAAACCAAACCAAUCAAUACCCAUUGAUCUAUCACGCUGCUGUGUGCAGAAGA
Long non-coding RNA from Nycticebus coucang (slow loris), 1452 nucleotides. RefSeq lists it as uncharacterized. The record is from RefSeq and is a predicted model, not a curated record. Lineage: Eukaryota; Metazoa; Chordata; Mammalia; Primates; Lorisidae. The transcript has 4 exons.